AGAAACUUAGGAUAAUAUAGACCAAAAACCUUCAAAGUUUUAAGUACGAGUUAAAAUCUCUUAGUUUCUG
This 70-nucleotide transfer RNA is filed under the name Limnonectes bannaensis (large-headed frog). RNAcentral describes it as "tRNA-Trp". It matches the Rfam family "tRNA". From Rfam's summary of the family: Transfer RNA (tRNA) molecules are approximately 80 nucleotides in length. Lineage: Eukaryota; Metazoa; Chordata; Amphibia; Anura; Dicroglossidae. The record is from RNAcentral.